GAGUUUGAUCCUGGCUCAGGAUGAACGCUGGCGGUAUGCCUAACACAUGCAAGUCGAACGGAACCUUCGGGUUUAGUGGCGGACGGGUGAGUAACGCGUGAGAAUCUGCCUCUAGGUCGGGGACAACAAUUGGAAACGAUUGCUAAUACCCGAUGUGCAGCAAUGUGAAAGAUUUAUUGCCUAGAGAUGAGCUCGCGUCUGAUUAGCUAGUAGGUGUGGUAAUGGCGCACCUAGGCGACGAUCAGUAACUGGUCUGAGAGGAUGACCAGUCACACUGGGACUGAGACACGGCCCAGACUCCUACGGGAGGCAGCAGUGGGGAAUUUUCCGCAAUGGGCGAAAGCCUGACGGAGCAAUACCGCGUGAG
This 367-nucleotide ribosomal RNA is filed under the name uncultured bacterium. Its description in RNAcentral is "bacterial SSU rRNA". It matches the Rfam family "Bacterial small subunit ribosomal RNA", at positions 9 to 405 of the family's 1533-position model. The record is from RNAcentral.